ACUGUAGCCUGUCAUUUUAAUUGCAGUAAUGUCAUCUUUUGUUAACUUUGAUGUCAUCAACAUAUAGAAACUGACAUAGCUUGCAUGAAAUUAGAUUUUACUUGCAGUUUUUAUAAAAAUUAAACAUCACAAACAGCAAUGCCCAAGAAUAUGUUAUUCAUCAUUUUUGUAUUAAACAUUUUGUAUGAAGAUAUUUGUUUGGUUUGAUUAGUGCUGAGAUCUAAAUGUUUAUGACAAGAACUCAAUUUAAGUGUACUUUACUUUAAUAUAAACUAGAACACACCCGCGAAUUCGCGGGCAUAUACAGCUUGUGAACUGUUGUAGUAUGAUGUUUGUAAAAGAUAAUCAUGUAUCCUGGAGAAUUUCAGAAAAGGUAUCAAAAGCCCUCUCCCUUUUUCCAAAGUUCGAUAUUUGUUUCCUUUCUGUCCUCAGACCACAAUUAUUCUUCUCCUUUGCUACAAUGCAUCUUUUGGUAAAAGUCAAAUUAAAUUAAAAAUUUGCACCGCUUCAAACAUGAAAUAAAUGUAACUACUUGAUAUAUAGACCAUUAUUAGUCUAAUAAAAUAUGCAUGCUUCUAGGAAAGUCGGAUCAAUCACUGCUUUUUCUUUCGAGAGCCUUAUUAACAUGCCAAUGGUAGGAUACGAAUCUUGUAUAAAUGACUAAGGGCGACUAAGGCUAAUUUGAAGGAUGGUCGGAGGGGUCCUGAUCCUGAAAUCCGGAUCUUAAAAACAUGAAAUCCCGAGAUGCAGAAUUUAAAGAAAUAUACCAAAAUCGAAAAAUAUAUUCCCGGAUCCUGUAUUGAUCAAUCCCCAGAUCCCGAGCUUAAAAACAACCGAUCCUGAAAUCCUGAAAAAGGUCUUGCCUCCCUCUAGUCUCUAUCCUUCUUUCAUUUUUGCCAAAUCCCUACUUUCACUUUCAACAAUAAUUUUUUAUGCCCCAUUUAUGUGCAUUAUGUGUUCUAGUCUGUACAUUUGUGCGUUCGUUCUUUCGUUCGUGACGUCCGUCCAUCUGUCCCGCUUCAGGUUAAAGUUUUAAGUCGAGGUAGUUUUUGAUGAAGUUGAAGUCCAAUCAACUCGAAACUUAGUAAAUAUAGUGCCGAGGUGGCAUUAGUGUACUAUGGACACAUUCUUGUUUCCACAUGUUUUACUUAUUUUAGUAUAUAUGCAACUGGUAUGACCCCUUAAAUAGUAAACAGUUUCAUUGAAAACAGUAGACAGAAUACAGAGAGGAUCUAUAUAUUAAAGUAGCAUAAUCGUAAUCGUAGUUUACAUGUAGAUAUAACGCGAAAAAUAAUUGUCCUCUAUAAGGAGGUAUACAACAAAUGGAAGUUUUUAACGACCUUGACUGGCUAUACAGCCCUUGCACGGUCGGUAAGGAGGUAUAAUAGUUGUGGUUCUUGCUAUAUAAGCACCAUGAUAUGGUGAACGCUCUGAUUGGCUUAUUUAUUUUUCAAUUUUCGUUAUCUAUCAUACAAUUGGUUGUUUUAAACCGGAAGUCUUAUCUAUGACUAAAAGUCAGUCUGAUGAUGGAAUCAAUAUCCGGACUCCUUUUUUGUCGUUUUUCUCCAAAAAUAACUCAAUCUGAAUAAUCGUAAGAAUGGAUGACAAAUGCGACUUUGCAUGUUACCUAUAGAACACAGAGGCAUGGUGAUUAAUAAAUCGUGGAAGGAAGAGAAGCGACACACAAAAUGAGAAAUUUUGAAAAAAUGAAAAAUGCAAUACAAAGAUAUAAAUACAUUUUUAAAAUAGAUGUACUAAUAUAUUGUGAAAAAGACUGUUGGUUGAUAAAUUUAUACUUGUUAGAUUUUCAAAAGUAAGUAGCCAAAAAUUGGAACAUGUUAUACCUUUGUUUAGAGGUUUAAUGUUUCAUGUUAGAUUUUCUAAUGUUAAUCUCUCUAAUUUAUUUCUGUAAUGAUUUGAAUUUGUUACUGCAAAUACAGAAGAUCAAAAUGUGUAAACAUGUAUCUUAAAAAUAAUUAUUAAGUGAAAAAAUAACAAUUAAACAGACUGAUCCUCAAUAUAUUUGCAUUGCAUAACUGAUCUGUUAUUUUCAUUAAUUAUGUUGUUGAUAAGCUACAAAUAUGUGUACAUUUUAAGUAUUAUUUAUUUGCUUGUACAGUUAAUGUAGAUAUAAUUUUAUGUAUUAAGUUUUGUAGCUUUGUAAAAUGUUACACUGGAAAAAUUUUGGAAGAAAUCAAAACUUUCAAGUGAAUGUUAAAAGAUAAGGUGCCUAUUAAUACCCUAAAUUUUAUUUUAAAUGCUUAGAUAAUAUCCAAGUUAUAAUAAGUUAUAAAUGUAAACAGUUUAACUUAUUGCUGAUUUCUUGUCUUACAAAUUGUUGGUUGUUGAAUUUCCUCCUUUUACCAGUAACGUUUACACAAUUUGUGUGAGUGUCAUCCAUUAAGAAAUUAUGUAGUUAUAUUAUUAAACAAAUUUUUAUAUUAAGAUGUAACUUGAAUGUAUUUUAAGCUUUCAAGUAACACAGAUUACCUUGAUUCUGUUUCACAUGAAAGCUUUACAAAUAUUGAUGGUGUUGACAAUUCAUAACACAUCAAAAUGAAUAAAAAAGUUUUCUCCAUUAACCUAGGCAAACCCUUUAAACUGAAAUAUUGGGAAUGGAUGGAAUGAUAUCUGUCAGGAAAACCUAUUUCGUUUGCACUAGAAUCUACGUCUUUCACAUGAAAAAAGUGUUGUGACCUGUAUCAUUUGUUAGUUGUAUAGUCCCCUUAUUACAUUUUGGCCAGUUGAUCUGAUAAUGAGUGAGUGAUAUUCAAAUCCAAUUCAUAAAGAGAAACUUAUUUGUUUCUUUAAAUACAGUUGUAUUGGUCAGUUAUAUUGUACAUAAGCAUACUUCUAUUGUAUCAGAUAAUUUAGAAAACAAAUGUUUUUACAAAGACUAUUGAACAUUCACAUUUUAAACAGUAUAUAAAGUAUCUAUAAAAGGAUGUUAUAAUAUGGUUUAUAUAAUUUGAUUAAGUAAAAUUAAAAUUCCAUAUCAGAAUAAUAAUAUGCAAUUCACAUCAUAAAGUCUACACUGUUAAAUGUUGGAUGCUGUAAAAUGGACAGUUGUCUUUCCUGUCCUGACCUAAAAAAGCAGCUCCUGAAUUUUUACGACACAUUCUAUUGUAAAUAAACAUGUCGUCAUUUUUUGUUUUAUUAAAUAUAUAUUAUUAGUUAUUUGCAUUUGAAUGAUUUCUUUAUGGCUGACAUCAUCGAAUGUUGUACACUAUGUUUUGAAAUAUUGACCAAUUCUUCAGUAUGGAGUAAGACAUUGAUAUAGAGCUUCAUUAUGGUUGAAUGAGAUUUAUACAGUUGACAUAUUUUUAUAUAGGGGUUAAGGCCCUUAAAAGUUUCAAAAAAAAUCUUGUUUUUCAAAAUUUAUUUAGAUAUUUUUCUUGUUGUUUCCCCCUUAUCAAAGUAAUUAUUUUGCCCUGUCUAAACAUUGUUCAUAGAUAUGUCAUGUUUAUUUAUUAGAAAAAGGGAGGCUAUGGUUUUAUUGGUUUGAAUUAUAAUUUGUAAGAACAAAGAUGAUGUUAGCCUUAAUGUUUCUAGAUAUAAAAAAAUGGUAUUAAUAUAAUAUCUACCUCAUAAUGUACAUAACUUCACAUAGUUUUUGAAAUUUCUAUGUAUUGUCAAGGAUGA
RNAcentral lists this long non-coding RNA (3642 nucleotides) under Mytilus galloprovincialis (Mediterranean mussel). The record is from RNAcentral. Lineage: Eukaryota; Metazoa; Mollusca; Bivalvia; Mytilida; Mytilidae.